CCCAGCUGCAAGCAACUGUCUAGGUUGAUUGCACCUAGGCAAGUGUUAAACUGCUGGGAGAAAAGCAGCUAGUAGCUGGCAGGCAUUCUGGGUCUGGUUAAUGCCAGAUUUG
Small nucleolar RNA from Ochotona princeps (American pika), 112 nucleotides. Its record names the gene SNORA74. It matches the Rfam family "Small nucleolar RNA SNORA74". Rfam says of the family: U19 belongs to the H/ACA class of snoRNAs. snoRNAs bind a number of proteins (including dyskerin, Gar1p and Nop10p in the case of the H/ACA class) to form snoRNP complexes. This class are thought to guide the sites of modification of uridines to pseudouridines by forming direct base pairing interactions with substrate RNAs. The record is from Ensembl. NCBI's taxonomy places the organism in Eukaryota, Metazoa, Chordata, Mammalia, Lagomorpha, Ochotonidae.